Molecule: unclassified non-coding RNA, 228 nt
Filed under: uncultured Pezizaceae
Lineage: Eukaryota; Fungi; Ascomycota; Pezizomycetes; Pezizales; Pezizaceae
Description: sequence contains ITS1
Source: RNAcentral
UCAAAAAAAUUCACUUUUUUUGAAAUAUUUUUCCAUUUUUCCCUUGUGUAUCUAUUCCAUGUUGCUUCCACUAGACAGGUAAUUAUAUCAACCGUAUAUAUUUACCCUUCAUACCUUAAUUGUUUUUUUUAAACACUAUGGGGCGUGGAGAAAUGUCAGUGGAUGGCCGUAAUUUUUAAGACAUGUUUUUUUAUAUAUAGUCUGAUAAGAGUGAUAAUAAAUAAAAAA